CCGACGGUGAGGGGUGAAGGCUGGGGGCGCAAACCGGAUUAGAUACCCGGGUAGUCCCANAGUAAACGAUGCCAGCUAUGUGUUGCUGGAACCAUGGGUUCCAGCAGUGCCGAAGGGAAGCCGUGAAGCUGGCCACCUGGGAAGUACGGUCGCAAGGCUGAAACUUAAAGGAAUUGGCGGGGGAGUACCACAACCGGUGGAGCCUGCGGUUUAAUUGGAUACAACGCCGGGAAUCUUACCGGAGGGGACAGCAGUAUGAAGGCCAGGCUAAAGACCUUGCCAGAUCAGCUGAGAGGAGGUGCAUGGCCGUCGCCAGUUCGUACCGUGAGGCAUCCUGUUUAGUCAGGCAACGAUCGAGACCCGCAGUCUUAUUUGCCAGCAUGCCCUUUGGGGUGUAUGGGUACAAUAAGACGACCGCCAGCGCUAAGCUGGAGGAAGGAGCGGGCUACGGUAGGUCAGCAUGCCCCGAAUCCUCCGGGAUACACGCGGGCUACAAUGGUCAGGACAAAAGGUACCGACCUCGAAAGAGUGAGGUAAUCCACAAACCUGAUCUCAGUCCGGAUCGAAGGCUGCAACUCGCCUUCGUGAAGAUGGAAUCGGUAGUAAUCGUGACUCAAAAUGUCA
RNAcentral lists this ribosomal RNA (624 nucleotides) under uncultured archaeon. Its description in RNAcentral is "bacterial SSU rRNA". It matches the Rfam family "Archaeal small subunit ribosomal RNA", at positions 691 to 1315 of the family's 1478-position model. The record is from RNAcentral.